UACGUAGGGGGCAAGCGUUGUCCGGAUUUAUUGGGCGUAAAGAGCGUGUAGGCGGCCAGACAGGUCCGUUGUGAAAACUCGAGGCUCAACCUCGAGACGCCGAUGGAAACCGUUUGGCUAGAGUCCGGAAGAGGAGAGUGGAAUUCCUGGUGUAGCGGUGAAAUGCGCAGAUAUCAGGAAGAACACCUAUGGCGAAGGCAGCUCUCUGGGACGGUACUGACGCUGAGACGCGAAAGCGUGGGGAGCGAACAGG
This 253-nucleotide ribosomal RNA is filed under the name uncultured bacterium. RNAcentral describes it as "partial 16S ribosomal RNA". It matches the Rfam family "Bacterial small subunit ribosomal RNA", at positions 524 to 776 of the family's 1533-position model. The record is from RNAcentral.